This is a long non-coding RNA of Nicotiana attenuata, 1014 nucleotides long. RefSeq lists it as uncharacterized. The transcript has 2 exons. The record is from RefSeq and is a predicted model, not a curated record. Lineage: Eukaryota; Viridiplantae; Streptophyta; Magnoliopsida; Solanales; Solanaceae.
CUUUUGGUUUGCUUCUAUCCUCUACUAGAGCUCUCUCUCGCUCUCUCUAUCUCUAUCUUUCCCUCUCUUCGUAGAACAAGCUCAUGUGAGCUAGAUCUGAUGUCUCUUUUUAUUUCUAUCUAUGUGCUUUUUCUCUCUCUAUUCGACGAGAGCGAGCUCAUCUGAGCUACAUUUGAACAAAACCCACUGGCUCUUGCGAAGAUUUCAUAGUGUACUCGUGAUUCUGUGUAUAUUUCUCUGAUUUUAUAUAACUCUCGUCCUCUCUUCUCGAUUUUUGCAGUUUUGAGCUAGAUCGGGUGAAUGCACUACUCUCUUGGUUCCAACAUCAUUUAAUUUGCAAAAUCUAAGCUGCUACCUGGAUAUCUUGUCCGAUUUCUGGGCUUUCUCAUGUUUUUUAGAACUUUAGAUUCUAGGAAUUUCUAGAAUAAACAAUUGGAACAAGCCUGUAAAAUCCGUUAGAAAAUAGGGGUAUAGCUUGAUUAAUGAAGAUUAGAAGUGAAAGUAGUGCUAGCCACAUAAGCUACAAAAGCAGUAGCUGGAAGGAUCAAGUUGUAUGCAGCGGCACUCUUGGAGCUCUUGGAAUUUCUGGUGUACUCUUGGCUACUGCUGGAGGUAUUGGAUGGCAUGCUUUAGAUGUUUGAUGAUUAUACUGGAUAACAAAGUGAGUGGGAUAAGAUUGGCAGUGGACUAAUGAAAGACAAUGCUUGGCAUCAUUGUGCUGAUGCAGUAUCCUCCUUCGUUGCUCUCAUAGGAGUUGGUAAUGACCUUGUACUUAAAAUUUACCUAAUUAUGGCUGGAGAGAUAAAUUUGUUCUUUUAGAAAAUAAGUUUUACCAUUUGAUUUGUCUAAUUGUGUCAUUGAGAACUAAACAAAGUGUGUGUAUGGGAUUGCUGUUGAGCAUAAGAUGCUAAUUUGUAUUGUGGUGUUACUAUUAGUUUGGCCGAGCAUAAUAAUGAGUUUUUAUAUUUGUACUAUUGUUUAACUUUUUUAUGUGGAUAAUGUGCUUUUUGCAUU